This 253-nucleotide ribosomal RNA is filed under the name uncultured bacterium. RNAcentral's name for it is "partial 16S ribosomal RNA". It matches the Rfam family "Bacterial small subunit ribosomal RNA", at positions 524 to 776 of the family's 1533-position model. The record is from RNAcentral.
UACGGAGGGAGCUAGCGUUAUUCGGAAUUACUGGGCGUAAAGCGUACGUAGGCGGCUUUGUAAGUAAGAGGUGAAAGCCCGGAGCUCAACUCCGGAACUGCCUUUUAGACUGCAUCGCUUGAAUCCAGGAGAGGUGAGUGGAAUUCCGAGUGUAGAGGUGAAAUUCGUAGAUAUUCGGAAGAACACCAGUGGCGAAGGCGGCUCACUGGACUGGUAUUGACGCUGAGGUACGAAAGCGUGGGGAGCGAACGGG